UUUCCGUAGGUGAACCUGCGGAAGGAUCAUUACCGAGUGAGGGCCCUCUGGGUCCGACCUCCCACCCGUGUUUAUCGUACCUUGUUGCUUCGGCGGGCCCGCUUCACGGCCGCCGGGGGGCACCCGCCCCCGGGCCCGCGCUCGCCGCAGACACCAUUGACCGCCGUCUGAAGAUUGCAGUCUGAGCACCUUGGCUAAAUCAGUUAAAACUUUCAACAACGGAUCUCUUGGUUCCG
RNAcentral lists this unclassified non-coding RNA (236 nucleotides) under plant metagenome. RNAcentral's name for it is "partial contains small subunit ribosomal RNA, internal transcribed spacer 1, and 5.8S ribosomal RNA". The record is from RNAcentral.